GGCCUCGUGGCGGCGGGUGAUCUUGUUAUCUAACAAAUACAACAGCUGUCUUGGAAGCAGUACCUGGAGUAUAUAGCAGAAGUUUGGCUUACCAGUUAUGCUGUUUCCAUGAUAGCUGAUGUAUUAGUGACAUUCAUGUGCAAUGCAGAGCGGACGUUACUGGGGUGUUUUGGAGGCAAUCUAGUGGUCCACAGAGAUGAUGCUCUAACAUAUGGUGCCUUCUCUGGGUAAGUUCUCAGCUACUACCUAAAGCAAGUGGUGCAGAUAUCUCCAAUUUGGCACCACUGCUUUUAUUUCAAACACCUUUCUUAACUCUAUUUUCACUUUCCUUAUGCUUUUAUGCACAACCUCUCACAACAUUAUCAACUGACUUUGAUUUGACAAUUGCAUUUUCCUGAGUUAUGCAAGUAACUACAAGAGAUGCUACUGUGAUCCAAUGUGACAUAUGGGCCAGUGCCUUCCAUUCACAAUGCAAAGCUACCUAUCUUAUCAGCAGCUGAAAUGAUCUGUUAGUAAAAUAACUAAUGUACAGCGAGAUUUAUCAGAAACUUUUUUUCAUAUCUUAGAAAAUCUAGAAACCACUGCUCCUACUUGAGGUACCAGAAACACUAACUCAUAGCCUGUGCACAGUGGAACUAUUGUCCAUCAAUAUCAUAUACUUUAUGUCGUUCCAGUCCUCCUAGGAUGUAAAAAAUCAACAAGCUUUUGUAAGUAACUUCUCAAGUAACAGCUUUUUGGGUUUUGAGGUUGGGGGUCAUGAGAAUUAUCCUUUUUCCAGAUUGUUCUACUAUUUCCAACUUAGCAAACAGAUUAGUGGGUUCAUUGUUGCAAGUGCUCUACUCUCAGCAAAAACUUUCUAGAUCCUUGAAAAAGCUUUAAUCACUUAUCCAGGCUUUUCUGCUAUUGGAGCAGAUAUCUAAAGCAUGAAACUCAUGCAGGGAGCCCUUAGAAGUUUUGUAUUGUUUCUACCACCUAAGGGGUAGAUAUUAAAAUUUUCUUAAUAUUGAGCCAACUCAGUUCUUAUCACAGUUACACAAAACCACUGCAUAAUUCAAUAGACAAAUUGUCUGAAUCUAAUCCCAUAAAAAGAGAAAUUAUGACAUGUUUUUAAAAUCUAGACUUAAUAGAUAGCCAAAUGGCUACAAACCACAUCAGGCUGAAUGAAUCAGAUACCAUCUGUGAUAAAAGGCAUGUUGAAUAAUACAGUCUAGAUGCAAAGCAUAUUGAACAGAA
Melopsittacus undulatus (budgerigar) is the source of this 1233-nucleotide long non-coding RNA. RefSeq lists it as uncharacterized. The record is from RefSeq and is a predicted model, not a curated record. The transcript is spliced from 3 exons. NCBI's taxonomy places the organism in Eukaryota, Metazoa, Chordata, Aves, Psittaciformes, Psittaculidae.